This 76-nucleotide transfer RNA is filed under the name Enterococcus hirae. Its description in RNAcentral is "tRNA-Met(cat)". It matches the Rfam family "tRNA". From Rfam's summary of the family: Transfer RNA (tRNA) molecules are approximately 80 nucleotides in length. Their secondary structure includes four short double-helical elements and three loops (D, anti-codon, and T loops). Further hydrogen bonds mediate the characteristic L-shaped molecular structure. tRNAs have two regions of fundamental functional importance: the anti-codon, which is responsible for specific mRNA codon recognition, and the 3' end, to which the tRNAs corresponding amino acid is attached (by aminoacyl-tRNA synthetases). tRNAs cope with the degeneracy of the genetic code in two manners: having more than one tRNA (with a specific anti-codon) for a particular amino acid; and 'wobble' base-pairing, i.e. permitting non-standard base-pairing at the 3rd anti-codon position. Lineage: Bacteria; Bacillati; Bacillota; Bacilli; Lactobacillales; Enterococcaceae. The record is from RNAcentral.
UGUACCCUUAGCUCAGUUGGUUAGAGCUGACGGCUCAUAAUCGUCCGGUCAUAGGUUCGAGUCCUACAGGUUACAU